UACGGAGGGUGCAAGCGUUAUCCGGAUUUACUGGGUUUAAAGGGUGCGUAGGUGGGCAGGUAAGUCAGCGGUGAAAUCUCCGAGCUUAACUCGGAAACUGCCAUUGAUACUAUCUGUCUUGAAUAUCCUGGAGGUGAGCGGAAUAUGUCAUGUAGCGGUGAAAUGCUUAGAUAUGACAUAGAACACCAAUUGCGAAGGCAGCUCACUACGGGAUUAUUGACACUGAGGCACGAAAGCGUGGGGAUCAAACAGG
Molecule: ribosomal RNA, 253 nt
Filed under: uncultured bacterium
Lineage: Bacteria
Description: partial 16S ribosomal RNA
Rfam family: Bacterial small subunit ribosomal RNA
Source: RNAcentral